Long non-coding RNA from Cotesia glomerata, 335 nucleotides. RefSeq lists it as uncharacterized. NCBI's taxonomy places the organism in Eukaryota, Metazoa, Arthropoda, Insecta, Hymenoptera, Braconidae. The transcript is spliced from 4 exons. The record is from RefSeq and is a predicted model, not a curated record.
AUUUCUUAAAUUUUUAAUAGUUUAUUUUCAUAAGAUCAUGAAGAAGUAACAAGAAGAACAAAAGUACAUAUUUACAGCGACAUUAAAGCAGCAUUAGCAGCAGAGUACAUAGAGAGUCCUCUGUACUCAGUACACAAGUGAAAGUACAUAACAACCGGUCAGAAUUAUCCUGGAUUUAAAUAAAGUUAUCUCAUCUCAAAUCAGCGACAGAGGGAGAGGGAGUCUACGCACAAACUAAAGGCGAUGUAAGAAAAACAAAGGCUCUAGUUAUCAGUCUAGAUGAGAAAAUAGUCGGGCCCGACAAAGGAUCCGCACUUGGGAAAAUCCUGCGGUGG